RNAcentral lists this non-coding RNA (118 nucleotides) under Macrococcoides caseolyticum. RNAcentral describes it as "Macrococcus caseolyticus FMN sequence". It matches the Rfam family "FMN riboswitch aptamer (RFN element)". From Rfam's summary of the family: The RFN element is a highly conserved domain that is found frequently in the 5'-untranslated regions of prokaryotic mRNAs that encode for flavin mononucleotide (FMN) biosynthesis and transport proteins. This element is a metabolite-dependent riboswitch that directly binds FMN in the absence of proteins. The record is from RNAcentral. Lineage: Bacteria; Bacillati; Bacillota; Bacilli; Caryophanales; Staphylococcaceae. RNAcentral also lists the same sequence under 1 other name.
AUUCAUCUUCGGGGUCGGUGCAAUUCCGAACCGGCGGUUACAGUCCGCGACCUGAUUACUCAGCUGAACUGGUGAAAUUCCAGUACCGACAGUACAGUCUGGAUGGGAGAAGAUGGAG